AGUGCGUCUGCACAGAACCGCCAAAUUGAAGAGGAUGAAGUAAGUAACCACAAUUUGUCACUGAUAGAUACACAGGUAAAACUAAAAACCUAUAUUAAAGUUUUUAUUGUACAUCACAAUACCUUGAGAAUAUCUGUGAGAUUAUGAAGAUGCAAGCUGGUGAGGCAUUGUACACAAACACACGCACAAACAUGUGUAUAUAUAUAUCAAUGUGUAUGUUGUUAUUAAAGAUAUGUUUCUCCUGAUUCAUUUAAGGCAGCGGUUGAAAAACUAAAUUCCAUCCUGGCUGAUAUUUGCCUUGACAUGUGGACUCGCCCAAUUCAUGAGGACAUUCUCCGUCGUCAUACGAAAGGCUAUCCUCACCUGUUAGCUACGAUGAAACAGGUGAAGCUAAACCUGCAUGAUAUCUGUUAUUACAUGAAGAUGACAGAAAAGCCUGAGGAUGCAGUGGUGCCGACUGCUCCAGUCCAUCCAAGUUAGAUUUAAUGAAG
Long non-coding RNA from Paramormyrops kingsleyae, 491 nucleotides. RefSeq lists it as uncharacterized. Lineage: Eukaryota; Metazoa; Chordata; Actinopteri; Osteoglossiformes; Mormyridae. The record is from RefSeq and is a predicted model, not a curated record.